RNAcentral lists this long non-coding RNA (777 nucleotides) under Homo sapiens (human). RNAcentral's name for it is "HSALNT0247914". Lineage: Eukaryota; Metazoa; Chordata; Mammalia; Primates; Hominidae. The record is from RNAcentral.
CUGAAAUAACACAUGAAAGAACUUAGCACAGUGCCUAGCAGGCAGUAAGUACUCAGGAAAUGUCAGCUGCUGUCAAACUUUCUAGGAACAGAAAAGCAGAGCUGUAUCUAAUAUAGCUUAAACUGGUAUGCUCUGCAGGACAGGGAGGAGUCUCAUUUUGCAUCAAGAGCUUUCCAUGGGUCAUGUUAUUUCACCCUGCACGAUGCUGUGUGGUCUCAUCACCACUGAACACACAAGACCCUGAGACUCUGAGAGGUAGACACUGCACUCUACAGCUGCGAUUCACACCUGGAUCUGCUGGCUCAAGGUCUGCACUCUUUCCACUGCACCACAGUAACCCACAUGAAUCAGCAAUGAAAAGGCAAGACGGAGUAAGCUUCAAGCACUGAUGACCAUCUGUUUUAGCCCGAGUUGCCUAUGAAACAGAGCGUUAUGCAGAAGCUGAAGUACUAAUGCCUUGUUAGAGGAUGCAAGCCCAGGGAAGCAAGAGUGAGAGGUCCUGGGGACUUUUUCUUCUUAUGUCUGUACCUCAUCAGUUAAUUCUGGCUCCAUACAGAAUGCAAAAAUAUCUACUCGCUGCUCUAGGAUCCCCUACUGUUAAUCAUAGAAAGCCAAUUGCCGGGUAUGAACUUGCAGAAAGCACAAUCUUUAGGAACUGAGUGCUCCUUAAUGCCUUUUCACAGAAGGAAUUAUUUCCCUCCAGUUGUCCCUGUGGUUUGUUUGCCAUGGUGUCCUCACCUAAGCAUUUGAGGAAUAAAACAAAAGUGAAUGAAAAUG